AUUGAACGCUGGCGGCAGGCCUAAAACAUGCAAGUCGAACGAGUGGCGGACGGGUGCGUAAUGUCUGGGAAACUGCCUGAUGGAGGGGGAUAACUACUGGAAACGGUAGCUAAUACCGCAUACCAUCAGUGGUGCCCAGAUGGGAUUAGCUUGUUGGUGGGGUAACGGCUCACCAAGGCGACGAUACAUAGCGGGUCUGAGAGGAUGCCCAGCCACACUGGGACUGAGACACGGUCCAGACGCCUACGUGAGGAAGCAGUAGGGAAUAUUGCACAAUGGGCGCAAGCCUGAUGCAGCCAUGCCGCGUGUAUGAAGAAGGCCUUCGGGUUGUAAAGUACUUUCAGCGGGGAGGCGUUACCCACAGAAGAAGCACCGGCUAACUCCGUGCCAGCAGCCGCGGUAAUUC
This 406-nucleotide ribosomal RNA is filed under the name uncultured bacterium. RNAcentral describes it as "partial 16S ribosomal RNA". It matches the Rfam family "Bacterial small subunit ribosomal RNA", at positions 30 to 526 of the family's 1533-position model. The record is from RNAcentral.